Molecule: long non-coding RNA, 937 nt
Filed under: Mus musculus (house mouse)
Lineage: Eukaryota; Metazoa; Chordata; Mammalia; Rodentia; Muridae
Description: long non-coding RNA chr6:4610233-4611170
Source: RNAcentral
UUUUUUUUUUUAAGUUUUUAUAGUUUUCUUGAGAUAAAAAAAAAAUGACAUUUCCACUUUGUAGAAUAAAAAAACCCUAAUUUCUAAAAUCCUUAAUGUAGAAUUUCUACAAUGCAAAUAUCAACUGAAAGCACAUAAGCAGUUAACGGUCUAUUUCUUGCUCACUGCUGCAGUGUGUACUGUAGUUGGAAGACAAGUACGGGCUCCUUAUCUUCUGCAGCCUUCCUUCCCUGGCACUGAGCUCAGAACGGAGACAGCAGGGUUUCUCUGAUGGGGACUUUCUCAUUUUACAAAUAGAUCUUUCAGUGAAAACUAACAAGGCUUAAUACCUUUGUAUGUGUUAAUUUGGGGGGAGUGACCUAUCUCAUUAUAGCCUUCUAUUUUAUACACUCUCUAAUCCUGUCUUCAAACUGCCUGUAGUUACAGAUAGGGAAUGGCAAAGGGUGGAAAGUGGAGACUCAGUGCAGAGUUGCAGGAGUGACUCCUGAGUGUGAAGUGGAAAUCUGCCUGUCCCAUGAGCUCACCUGUGAUGAGGAGCUCAGAAAUGGAGUGCCCAGCAGGAAGCAGCUAUGCACAUGGUGCUGAUGAUAGUGGGCCCUUAAUCCUUAGGAACUGAGCGCCAUAAGGAUAAUAGAAAACAGUGAUGUUGGCUAUAUAUGGUACUUGGUGUUUGUAAACGUACAUUCUAUUAAUAUACACAGACAACCUUGAUUGCAAGAAAACCUUUUAAUAUUUAUAGGCUUAGAAUUCCUUCUGGAAAUUAAUAGUUUGACAAUUGUUAGUUGAAAAAGCCACAAUGGUUAAGUCUACAGUAUAUGUUACGCUAAUAUCAAUCUAUCGAUAGAUAACAUUUUAGGUCCUAAUGGAAUACUUAAGUUUGCAGAAAUUUCCAGUCAUCCUGCAAAUUACCAAACAAGAUACAUUUUAACAAAUACAU